Molecule: non-coding RNA, 343 nt
Organism: Lachnobacterium bovis DSM 14045
Lineage: Bacteria; Bacillati; Bacillota; Clostridia; Lachnospirales; Lachnospiraceae
Rfam family: transfer-messenger RNA
About the family: Bacterial tmRNA, also known as 10Sa RNA or SsrA, is named for its dual tRNA and mRNA-like properties. Its role is to liberate the mRNA from a stalled ribosome.
Source: Rfam
GGGCUAGUAAUGGUUUCGACGGGGUACGUGAAGUUGGAGAAGCGAGCCGUAUGCAAUGCGUUAAAUGGCACAAUUAAAAUUAAACGCUGAAGAUAAUAAUUUAGCAUUAGCUGCCUAGUUGCAGCAGUCUGACUUAGUGCACCUACACAUUAAGACCCAGGCUUCGAACAUGUAGGAAACGACAUAGGUUAAGCUUUGCACUUAUGGGCGUAUUAUGAAGCUACUGAAGUUGUUAGGGUGUUAGUCCUCGAACAACGGAGGGAAUGUUAAAGGACUUACUACACUCGUAGAAGUACAAUGAAUCGUAUUUCGGACAUGGGUUCGACUCCCAUCUAGUCCACUU